Rhododendron vialii is the source of this 488-nucleotide long non-coding RNA. RefSeq lists it as uncharacterized. The transcript is spliced from 2 exons. Lineage: Eukaryota; Viridiplantae; Streptophyta; Magnoliopsida; Ericales; Ericaceae. The record is from RefSeq and is a predicted model, not a curated record.
UCAAGCUUUGACCUGUAAAAGGUAAAAGAGUUUCUCGUUUCAACUUGAAGAAACCUACAAUACUUCUGUGUAUACAUUACCUAAAAAUAAAGUAUUAUCUCCCCUUCAAUUCAAACUAGGUGGCUGGGUGGAAAAAAAAUAUAGUUUACAUCCACUAUUUCAUCUAACAAUAGAUCCGGAAAGGUUCUAGAUGCCUUAAAAUGAAGUACCUUAGAGCAUCUGUUACAAAGAUUUAUGCUUACUUGAGCAACUUCCAAAGUAGGGGAAAAAACUGGAUUACCUGGAAAAAAAUUUGAAAUGCACAGGUGCAAACUUUCUCAGAAAAUAGAAUGAUUUUGUUUUGAAUGCUGAUAGAAGAUAAAAAUGAACAAGUUUUUUAUUUAGUGAUGUUGAUUCUAUAAUUACAGCAGUCAACAUGCCAUAUAUGUAGUUGCAAGGAGAAAACAGGAUAGAAGUAUGACAAAGGGUUAUGUAAUCUAACCCAUUAC